RNAcentral lists this ribosomal RNA (253 nucleotides) under uncultured bacterium. Its description in RNAcentral is "partial 16S ribosomal RNA". It matches the Rfam family "Bacterial small subunit ribosomal RNA", at positions 524 to 776 of the family's 1533-position model. The record is from RNAcentral.
UACGUAGGGUGCGAGCGUUAAUCGGAAUUACUGGGCGUAAAGAGUGCGUAGGCGGUUCGUUAUGUCUGUGGUGAAAGCCCUGGGCUCAACCUAGGAAUGGCCAUGGAAACUGGCGGGCUGGAGUAUGGCAGAGGGGGGUGGAAUUCCGCGUGUAGCAGUGAAAUGCGUAGAGAUGCGGAGGAACACCGAUGGCGAAGGCAGCCCCCUGGGAUAACACUGACGCUCAUGCACGAAAGCGUGGGGAGCAAACAGG